CAAUUGAUCAAAUGCUUGAAUACCAUCAAAUGGGUAGUGGUGCUUAUGCAAGUCCUUUUUUUCUUAAUAUAAUUUGUGAUGUGGUGCUAAAUCUGUGUUUUACAUCGGGUUCGAAAUUACCAAUUGUUAUCCUCAUUUGAUCUAUAGAUGAUUUCUGAGUCACUGGAUUGGGAUUAAAGAUCUCAAGUCAUUCGAAACUUGAAGCGAAAUAGAUCUCGUGGUGGUAAUAAGUUAACCAAGUGUAACGAGUGAAAAAUGUGAAUAUGAGAUUGUCAUGUCUAGAGAAAUUUGUUGGUCUAAAUAAUGCAAUAAAUUAUUCCUUUACAAAUCAGAAGGAAUAGAAAAAUAUCUCCGAGAGAGCAGGCAAGCCAGGAAUGAAUGAGAGGGAAUCGGUCGGCUCUCUUAACGAGAAUCCCACGGCUGAAAAGACAGUUGAGCAAAAAAUACAUUAUUUGGAGUUACGAAUAGUUUUGUUACAAAUAAAAUUAUAUAUUAUACAAUAUUAAGAACCUGUUAAUUAUAUACGAAA
This 529-nucleotide long non-coding RNA is filed under the name Carica papaya (papaya). Its description in RNAcentral is "long non-coding RNA (CPAP_LNC012890)". Lineage: Eukaryota; Viridiplantae; Streptophyta; Magnoliopsida; Brassicales; Caricaceae. The record is from RNAcentral.